This 325-nucleotide ribosomal RNA is filed under the name uncultured eukaryote. Its description in RNAcentral is "partial 18S ribosomal RNA". It matches the Rfam family "Eukaryotic small subunit ribosomal RNA", at positions 1470 to 1796 of the family's 1831-position model. The record is from RNAcentral.
CCCUUAGACGUUCUGGGCCGCACGCGCGCUACACUGACGAAGGCAACGAGCUUUCCUUUACCGAAAGGUACGGGUAAUCUUUUGAAACUUCGUCGUGCUGGGGAUAGAUCCUUGCAAUUUUUGAUCUUAAACGAGGAAUGCCUAGUAAGCGCAAGUCAUCAACUUGCGUUGAUUACGUCCCUGCCCUUUGUACACACCGCCCGUCGCUACUACCGAUUGGGUGUGCUGGUGAAAUGUUCGGAUCGGCCGUUUGUCGCGGUUUCCGCGGCUCGUGGCUGAGAAGUUCAUUAAACCCUCCCACCUAGAGGAAGGAGAAGUCGUAACA